UACAGAGGUCUCAAGCGUUGUUCGGAUUCAUUGGGCGUAAAGGGUGCGUAGGUGGCGGGGUUAGUCAGGUGUGAAAUCUCGGAGCUCAACUCCGAAACUGCACUUGAUACUGCCUUGCUUGAGUACUGGAGAGGAGAUUGGAAUUUACGGUGUAGUAGUGAAAUGCGUAGAUAUCGUAAGGAAGACCAGUGGCGAAGGCGAAUCUCUGGACAGUUACUGACACUGAGGCACGAAGGCCAGGGGAGCAAACGGG
RNAcentral lists this ribosomal RNA (253 nucleotides) under uncultured bacterium. RNAcentral describes it as "partial 16S ribosomal RNA". It matches the Rfam family "Bacterial small subunit ribosomal RNA", at positions 524 to 776 of the family's 1533-position model. The record is from RNAcentral.